UUAGGAGCAGCAAGAUGGAAGCGGCAAACCCUGGCGAUUCUCCGAUUAUGCAAGAUGUAAUUAUUCAGUCAGCAAGACACUUGCUGCAGUUACUGACAUCAUCCAACUGAACUGCUGCUGUGAUGAAUCAGAAUACAAGAGAACAGAGUCAAGGUACCAGCUUGGUCAACCCUAAAAGACCAUCUGUUCAUCAAGAUAUGACCAGGUGAAAAAGUCAUAAACUAAACACUCUGCAUGAGCAUGGAAUUUAGGAUGCAACUUUAUAUCUUACCUGCUCUACACUCAGGGCUUGAAUUACAACAACAGUCAAUCACAUAAAAAAAAAUAUACUUUUGGUAGUUCUGUGUCUCUCUCUCUCCUCCAAACCCAGAUGGCUGCUGGUACUGAACCGGGUUCUGCUGGAGGUUUCUUCUUGUUAAAGGGGAGUUUUUCCUCUGCACUGUCACUUCAUGCUGCUCAGUGUGAGGGAUUGUUGAGGUUGAGUCCAUAUGUCCUGCGAACAACUGCUGGGCAAUGACACCAUGCAAUCUUCUGGGAUUCCUUGGAUAGAAAACCUGUGAGCUGCACUUGUCCUUGGUCUUCACAGCUCACCUUUUUACUGUUUAUUGAAUCAAAAUUCUCCAGUGACAUGGAUUCUACAUUGUAACUGAUGUGAUGUUCUAUAAAGUGGUUUUAAUAAAAAAAAAAAA
Long non-coding RNA from Astatotilapia calliptera (eastern happy), 689 nucleotides. The record is from Ensembl. NCBI's taxonomy places the organism in Eukaryota, Metazoa, Chordata, Actinopteri, Cichliformes, Cichlidae.